GUGCACCAGUUUGCUACAGCUGUUUGUAUUGUUGUAAACCCCUGAAGUUUAUUAGGCAAAGGAAUAAUCUUUGAUGAUGAAAUGAUCAAGAAGAUAAGGGAUAGAAGUCAAAAUGAAUGGAGAGACAAAUUUUUACAGAAAAACGCUUCGCAGUUUUCCUAUGGCCAGAUCUACAACACCUCAUCCCAUAUUUUCUAGCAAGAUUUUGAAAGAUACAGCAACAAUUUGCCAAAUGUUUAAAUCUUAGCAUAAACAACUCUCCGUCAACCCACCUGUGGGGAGAAUACAUCCCCGCCUUAAUCUUGCUAUAAACAAAACUUAUAGUUUCCCUUUCUUCUCUUCCCUUUUUCCCCAAGGAAGACCGUCAUUUUUCACAAUUCCCAGUUUCCACAAAUUUAAAAUCAAUUACACAGAAAAUCCUAAAUUUCAAAGGAUUUCAAGGCACCAUAAAAUAGAAUAGUGCUAAGACCAAGAUCGUACAAGUUGUCAAAAUGAAAAGAAUGCAUUGCAAUGAUGGAUUAUUCCAGUAGGAGAGAAAAUACCUGAUGGAGACGAUAAAUUGUCCCACAAAGCAAACUUGAGCACAAUGAAAAGAUCUUAAAGUUCCAAAUGUAUUGAUAUGGUGGUGUGGGAAGACUACUGCACAAAUAUUCAAAGUGGAAGAUCAUAAAAAUGGACUAGCUGACACAAUGAACAUCUAGGGAAACUGCAAAAGAGAAUACCUCCAAAGCUAAGAACUUUGGAAUCCCAGAAUUAACGGUAAUUCCUAACUGUCCUCCUAACCAAAUUAUCAAAUAACAGAAAUCAGCACCAUUUUUCCUGUAAAAGCAGCACAAAAAGCUAAAAAUUCAAUCCUUGCAUUGGAGACUAGAAGAUAUACCCUCUCAUUCAUCUCUCUCUCCAUUUUUCAUUUAAAAAGUUUUCUAAAGUAAUAGCAUAGUUUUAUCACAACAUAGUAUUUGUAACUCCAUACCCACAAACAAAUAGUUUGUGCUGUUAGUCAGCUCCAGCCCCAGAACAUAAAAGCAAGGUGGAGUACUAGAGCUGUGCCUGUGGGACAAAGUAAAGAGAAGAAAUCAAAUUAAUCAGUAACAUAUGAAUAUAUAAGUGAGGUAAACUAAACGGAGAUUACAUGCGCUCAAGCUUUUUUUUUGGUUCAGGAAGGAUUGCGUCUGCCACCAGUAACAAAUGCUGUGUUGUAUCUAAAGCAGAUUCAAUAUGCAAAAUCAAACAAUAAGAAGAUGAAUUUUCGUUUCUCCAUCUCGUGGCUCACUUUCAAUAGCAUAUUGAAACAAUCAAACAAAUAAAGGAGUUAAAUUUACCCACCACAAGGAAAAUGGAAAGCAGAUCCUAUUUAGCAAUGACCUUGAUCUCAUACGGAUUCCAUGACGUGGGGCCUCCAAAUAUUGGGGAUGAUUGUUGGCCAAGUGACGAGAUCGACGAUGGCUACUGUGAAAAAUUAGACCGAUGAAAACGAAAAAAAAUUAGGGUUUGUCUGCAACGGAUAAGAGAAAUUAGCGAUGGAGGAGCAAGACCGGCGUCAAUUACUGCAGCUAUUCAAGAGCAAGUCAGGAAUAAAAUUGCGGAGAGCUGUUUUGAGUUUCUUGUCAACGACGAAACGAC
Molecule: unclassified non-coding RNA, 1623 nt
Filed under: Hevea brasiliensis (rubber tree)
Lineage: Eukaryota; Viridiplantae; Streptophyta; Magnoliopsida; Malpighiales; Euphorbiaceae
Source: RNAcentral